GACGAACGCUGGCGGCGUGCUUAACACAUGCAAGUCGAACGAUGAACCCGGAGCUUGCUCUGGGGGAUUAGUGGCGAACGGGUGAGUAACACGUGAGUAACCUGCCCUGGACUCUGGGAUAAGCGUUGGAAACGACGUCUAAUACCGGAUAGGACCUUGGAUCGCAUGAUCUGGGGUGGAAAGUUUUUUCGGUCUGGGAGGACUCGCGGCCUAUCAGCUUGUUGGUGAGGUAAUGGCUCACCAAGGCGUCGACGGGUAGCCGGCCUGAGAGGGUGACCGGCCACACUGGGACUGAGACACGGCCCAGACUCCUACGGGAGGCAGCAGUGGGGAAUAUUGCACAAGGGGCGAAAGCCUGAUGCAGCAACGCCGCGUGCGGGAUGACGGCCGUCGGGUUGUAAACCGCUUUUAGUAGGGAAGAAGGGCUUCGGCUUGACGGUACCUGCAGAAAAAGGACCGGCUAACUACGUG
This 471-nucleotide ribosomal RNA is filed under the name uncultured bacterium. RNAcentral describes it as "partial 16S ribosomal RNA". It matches the Rfam family "Bacterial small subunit ribosomal RNA", at positions 28 to 507 of the family's 1533-position model. The record is from RNAcentral.